This 348-nucleotide unclassified non-coding RNA is filed under the name soil metagenome. Its description in RNAcentral is "partial contains 5.8S ribosomal RNA, internal transcribed spacer 2, and large subunit ribosomal RNA". The stretch from base 1 to 120 matches the Rfam family "5.8S ribosomal RNA", at positions 35 to 154 of the family's 154-position model. The record is from RNAcentral.
GAUGAAGAACGCAGCGAAAUGCGAUAAGUAAUGUGAAUUGCAGAAUUCAGUGAAUCAUCGAGUCUUUGAACGCACAUUGCGCCCCCUGGUAUUCCGGGGGGCAUGCCUGUCCGAGCGUCAUUGCCGCCCUCAAGCACGGCUUGUGUGUUGGGCCCCCGCCCCCCGGCUUCGGGGGGCGGGCCCGAAAGGCAGCGGCGGCACCGCGUCCGGUCCUCGAGCGUAUGGGGCUUCGUCACCCGCUCUGUAGGCCCGGCCGGCGCCCGCCGGCGACCCCAAUCAAUCUUUCCAGGUUGACCUCGGAUCAGGUAGUGAUACCCGCUGAACUUAAGCAUAUCAAUAAGCGGAGGA